UACAGAGGUCUCAACCGUUGUUCGGAUUCAUUGGGCGUAAAGGGUGCGUAGGCGGUCGCGCAAGUCGGAUGUGAAAUCUCAGGGCUCAACCCUGAAACUGCAUUCGAUACUGCGUGGCUCGAGUGCUGGAGAGGAGACUGGAAUUUACGGUGUAGCAGUGAAAUGCGUAGAUAUCGUAAGGAAGACCAGUGGCGAAGGCGAGUCUCUGGGCAACAACUGACGCUGAGGAGCGAAAGCGUGGGGAGCGAACAGG
RNAcentral lists this ribosomal RNA (253 nucleotides) under uncultured bacterium. RNAcentral describes it as "partial 16S ribosomal RNA". It matches the Rfam family "Bacterial small subunit ribosomal RNA", at positions 524 to 776 of the family's 1533-position model. The record is from RNAcentral.